Alligator sinensis (Chinese alligator) is the source of this 244-nucleotide long non-coding RNA. RefSeq lists it as uncharacterized. Lineage: Eukaryota; Metazoa; Chordata; Crocodylia; Alligatoridae. The transcript is spliced from 3 exons. The record is from RefSeq and is a predicted model, not a curated record.
AAGAAAUCACUUCUUGUGGGUAGUGAGACCUUUGGACAGAAAAGCGAUAUGGUAAAACGGUUUGUCAACUGCUUUGAAAAUUAGGAAGGCCACAAAUACGAAAGCACGUGUAGACAUGGCCUCUGUCCUUUGAGGAAUGCCACAUCCUUACCUGGGUCCCUGUUGUACUGGUGGAGCUGUCGACACUCACGGCAUCCUGACACGGGCUGCUGGAGUUAAUGCCACAAAGGUAGAUGGACACAGC